RNAcentral lists this ribosomal RNA (1077 nucleotides) under gut metagenome. RNAcentral's name for it is "bacterial SSU rRNA". It matches the Rfam family "Bacterial small subunit ribosomal RNA", at positions 430 to 1520 of the family's 1533-position model. The record is from RNAcentral.
CUUCUUUUAUAUGGGAAUAAAGUAUUCCACGUGUGGAAUUUUGUAUGUACCAUAUGAAUAAGGAUCGGCUAACUCCGUGCCAGCAGCCGCGGUAAUACGGAGGAUCCGAGCGUUAUCCGGAUUUAUUGGGUUUAAAGGGAGCGUAGGUGGAUUGUUAAGUCAGUUGUGAAAGUUUGCGGCUCAACCGUAAAAUUGCAGUUGAAACUGGCAGUCUUGAGUACAGUAGAGGUGGGCGGAAUUCGUGGUGUAGCGGUGAAAUGCUUAGAUAUCACGAAGAACUCCGAUUGCGAAGGCAGCUCACUAGACUGUUACUGACACUGAUGCUCGAAAGUGUGGGUAUCAAACAGGAUUAGAUACCCUGGUAGUCCACACAGUAAACGAUGAAUACUCGCUGUUUGCGAUAUACAGUAAGCGGCCAAGCGAAAGCAUUAAGUAUUCCACCUGGGGAGUACGCCGGCAACGGUGAAACUCAAAGGAAUUGACGGGGGCCCGCACAAGCGGAGGAACAUGUGGUUUAAUUCGAUGAUACGCGAGGAACCUUACCCGGGCUUAAAUUGCAACAGAAUAUAUUGGAAACAGUAUAGCCGUAAGGCUGUUGUGAAGGUGCUGCAUGGUUGUCGUCAGCUCGUGCCGUGAGGUGUCGGCUUAAGUGCCAUAACGAGCGCAACCCUUAUCUUUAGUUACUAACAGGUCAUGCUGAGGACUCUAGAGAGACUGCCGUCGUAAGAUGUGAGGAAGGUGGGGAUGACGUCAAAUCAGCACGGCCCUUACGUCCGGGGCUACACACGUGUUACAAUGGGGGGUACAGAAGGCGGCUACCUGGUGACAGGAUGCUAAUCCCAAAAACCUCUCUCAGUUCGGAUCGAAGUCUGCAACCCGACUUCGUGAAGCUGGAUUCGCUAGUAAUCGCGCAUCAGCCAUGGCGCGGUGAAUACGUUCCCGGGCCUUGUACACACCGCCCGUCAAGCCAUGAAAGCCGGGGGUACCUGAAGUACGUAACCGCAAGGAGCGUCCUAGGGUAAAACUGGUAAUUGGGGCUAAGUCGUAACAAGGUAGCCGUACCGGAAGGUGCGGCUG